CUAGUUCUUACACCCCUGUGCUGGGGGCUGGGAAAAGAUUUAGAGAAGAGUUCCCUGUCUGGGAGGGAUGGGACACACAUUCAGGGUACAGACUGAUGCAGAGAUGAAGAGAUAGGAACAAAUGAAACAGGAGGAGCAAGGACAGCAGGGCUGGAGAGGAGGAGCCCGGAGCAGUCAGAGCUAGGACGGGGGGAAAGGGAAAGGCCCUGGAGAGGUAUCUGAAAAUGAAUUGGCUGAAGCCAUUCCUUCCUCACUGGGCAGCACCGUCCAAAGGCCAAGAGGUGAAUGGCUUGCCCGGGGAUUCCGGGUGUAGGAGUAGAGUCAAUGCCAGUGGCCAGGGCUCCUGACCUCUGGCCCAGGACUCUUGCCCCUAAACCUUACGGUCACCAGAAACACCAGCUCAAACUGUGGAAUGAAUCCUCACCCCAAGAGCCUCCCUGGGGCGUGGGAUGGACCCAGAGGCUGUUGAGUCCUUCAGCACCUUCAGAAGGCAUGCCACAUCUUUUCCUGCAGUGGGUGCUGUACUGUAGAUGUGGGAAUCUGCGCUCUUCCUGCAGUGGGUGCUAUACUGUAGAUGUGGGAAUCUGCACUGUUCCUGCAGUGGGUGCUGUGCUGUAGAUGUGGGAAUCUGCACUGUUCCUGCAGUGGGUGCAGAUUCAGUUCAGCACCUUCUGAAGGCAUGCCUUCCUAGCAGCCUUUCAGUGGCUCUGGAGAUGACAGAUGUAAGACUUUUGUGACCGUCACCCUGUGCCUCUAGCUCUGACUGUCCACUUUCCUCUCAUCCCAGGCCUAAAAUGAUUGGAAACUCUGAGGUCACAGUGUCCAUCCUCACCUUCAGGCUCAAGAGUUGUGACACAGCUCAGGCACACAGAAGGCGGUUCUACUGUUAAAGCCUCAUCAGGAAGGGCAUUUCUCUGCCUCUCUGGUCAUUCCUUUCAGUAUUGCUUUGGAAGUUCCUCUUAUAGUCUGACCUCAGGCAACCUUGGUGAUUGGUGAUUUUGUCAGAUAAUAUUCAGAGAAAGAUGAUAUAUUUUAAGAAAGACAAGGAAGCAGAAAUGUUUAGUGCAGAAUCUGAUCUAACUGGCUUUCAAAGGCUGGUGGUCGUGGAAUGUGAGGGAGGCCACUGGAUAAACUGAGGCCUCCUCAAUGUCAGUCUCCUCCUGGUUCCCUUGGACCAGAACAAGACCAGACCCCAGAUCUGCAGUGGGUCCUCUCACGGCCCUGGGCCACUGCCCCCUUACCUUGUUGAUGAAAGAUGCGAAACGGUUGUUGAGGCACUUGAUCUGCUCCUUCUCAUCCCUCUUUACCCUCUGCACAGUCGGGUCUAUCUCCAGUGCCAGUGGGACCAGCAGGCUCUCAUUGAUGGUGACAGGGGUGAUGCAGGCAGAAGGCCCACAGGUGGCUCCCAGUCGGUACCCGAAGCCAGGCAGGGUACCUCCACACCUGGAGGCUACCCGGGGCCUCCCAAAGCCCACGUUGCACAGGCUCCGUGAGCCAAGGCAGCCCAGAGCUCGGAGGCCCCUACCACCCCCGGGCCGGCAUGGCCCCUUGCUCACUGCAUAGUGGGUGACCAUCCGGGGCAUGACAGCCGAGUAUGAGCUGAAACUCUGACUGCCACACCUGGAGCCUGGCUGGAAAGAGUGGUACGACAUGGCAGGAGAGAGAGGCAGAGAAAUGCGGCCCUGGAGGAAAGAACCGGGGCAGGAUGAUCAAGUCAGGCUCAGCUUCCCCCCUUUUAUCUGGUAGGGGGAUGGAGGACUGAGAUGUGUCAAACCCCAAAUCACCAUUAAACUAGGUUUAUGAGCUUGGGAUAUUGGCAGAGCUAAGUAGCAAGGUGGAUAAUUAGGGUAGCGAAGAGCAAAGAGAAGGGGCCAAUGGUCAGUGCUGGUGGGCCCUAUAAAAAUCCUAUUUGUCCUCCUUCCUUGAUUGUGGGGGUGAUGAAAGGGGCCAACCAGACAGAUAUGUUCCAUGUAUCCAGUGGCUCAGCCUCAAGGAAAGGGAGAGUUGGGACUACGUCAUUUCAUAGGAGGGGAGGCGUGCCAUGAAUUAUACACCCUGGCUUCUCUGGGAUUAGAGGGCAAGUCCCAUAUGCUUAAAGAUGCUCUGGCUCUUUCCCCAAGGCUGCUCCUAGGCUUUUUUGCAGAUCCUCAACCCAAGUGCCCUCUGUGGGCUCCUAGGUGAGUCAGGAAGUUCCCAGGAGGAAGGCUUUUGGGGUGGGAGAAUCCUCCCUACAACAGGCCGGACCUUAACCCUCCUGAGCUCUGGCUCAGUGACCCACUGUCCCAUGAGGGUCUUGAAGGUAGACAGACUCCAGGCAUAGACACUUUUCUACAGGGCCCAUCAGUCCACAAAGGCUGCAGGGAACUCAAGAGGAGAGGCCUGGUGCUUGAGAAGGGCAGAGGAAGGGACGCUCUCCUCAACACUUCUGGGGCCCCCAGAAGGCAUGAUUUCAGCAUCAGGUCUCGGCUUCCAUGUGGCUGUUCCUUUCCCCUUUUGCCCAACCCAGCCUGAGUGUCCCUGAGGUCAACAGAGCCAGCUUUGGCCUGAGGAUGUCUCUGGGGAGAGUUGUUGCCCUUGGGAAUUUUCAGGUGGAGGUGGGAUUCAGGUUUUCUUUCCAGCUCAGGUCGCAGACACAGCUCUUUGGAGAUGUCUGAAGCCCCCGCCUCACUCUCUUUCCUCCUCUUUUCCAUCAAUUUCAUCAGUGAAACUUUUGCCAUGGCCGAAUGGCCUUUCCCUUCCACACUGAGACUUAUCACCAGGUCAAAAUCAAACCAAUAAUAAUAAUAAUAACAAUAAUAAACAUUUAUUGGGCAUUUAUUGUGUGUUGGGACCACUCCGUACUCUUUACAUCCAUGGUCUCAUUUAAUUCUCUGACCACACAAUGAGAUAGUUACUAUGCCACAGACAGGAAAAUGGGAAGCACAGCAGUUAAGAGCAACAUCCCCAAGUCACACAGCUUGUGGCUGAUCAGCUGGGAGUCCAUCCUGUUCCUUUUGACUUCACCCUGCCAUGCUGCUCCACAGCAGGGAAGCCCAGGUGAGGAAUUGGGAAUCUGCUGCCCAUAAAUGUUCUGUUGUCCCUGUCCGUCAGCCUUCCAACCUGUGGAUUAGGAGACUGGAACUCAAAGGUUUCCUGAGCCUCAGAAAUUCUCAGUCUCAUUGUGACAUUUCACACUCCCUGUCCCCUUUUUCAUAGUCCUGACUGUGGGCCCCAGAGUAGUGGAGGAGGAGGGGUGCAAGGCGAGACCACAGGCCACAAUGGGAGGCAGAAGGUUGGGUGAGGGGGUCCAAUUGCAGGGUGUCAGGGGAAGAAGACCACACUCUUCCCUGGACUGAGUCCACAGAGGGGGCCCAGGAUGGUGUGAAUGUUGAUGGAGACACUCAGAGGCCCCACCAGAGAGCAGAUUCCCACUAGAGGGGGUGAGGGAGACAGUGAGCUGCACCGGAGGGCAGGGGUCACUGCAGCAGUGGACACAGCAGAGUCUCCCCGCCAUGUCCAGGCCAGAGGAGGGCCUCAGUGAGCAUGUUGGGCUCCUGGAGUCCAGAACCAGAGCUCAGGAGCAGAGGGCAGGGCGGUUCCUUGGAUUCAUUGUGGGAGGGAGGCACCUGUUUCCUGAGCCCCCCGAGUCCAGGGUUGCCCUCUGAGUGUGAGCUAGGGCAGGACUCAGUCAAGACCUAGACAGUUUGGCGGCAUUUUAUGAAAGUGGGUUCAGGAACUAGGGGGCAUAAGGGAGCAGGCAGUUGAGAAGGGUGUGAUUUUCUUCUGGAGCAGUGAACUCCGUCUUCACUUUGGCAGUGCAGUAGACAAUCUCUACCUGCCUUUGGAAUGCGUUUUGGCAGGUGUCUUGGGGGUUGAUGACUCUUCAAAUUAAAUACA
This 3876-nucleotide long non-coding RNA is filed under the name Homo sapiens (human). RNAcentral describes it as "long non-coding RNA NONHSAT162207.1". Lineage: Eukaryota; Metazoa; Chordata; Mammalia; Primates; Hominidae. The record is from RNAcentral.